Molecule: long non-coding RNA, 1110 nt
Organism: Panicum virgatum (switchgrass)
Lineage: Eukaryota; Viridiplantae; Streptophyta; Magnoliopsida; Poales; Poaceae
Exons: 2
Source: RefSeq, a predicted model, not a curated record
GUGGAACGGGAGGGGGGCUGGUGCUCCAGGCUGCGGUCCUGCGCCCGGCGGAGGACGACGGCAAGGAGGGGUCGGCAAAGCGGCCGAAGCCGCCGCCGACCGCCGAGCCCGACGGCGUGGUGGGAAGCAGACACGGCCACGGCGACACUGCUCCACGGCGUGCGCGAAGAGCACGCCACUCUGUACGACCCCAAGCGGCGGGGCUUCCUCUGCUGCCGCGCAUUCGGCGGCUAUGCAUGCGACCCUACCGUGUUCGACCACGACGAAGAAUGGGAGAAGAUCCGACGUGACCAAAUGCAUCUUCAUAGAACACCUUGAUUUUUGACCCAAAAUAGAUGACGCCUUGCCUCUCUCUUGAUGAUCUCACAGCAACGGCUCGAAUCGCGCGGCCGCUGGACAGGAUCCCGACUCCGAACGAGACAACCUGGAGCUCGCGCUGAACGCCCUCCAUCUCAAGGUCCGGUGAGCGUCUUCGGGACCGUGCUGAUGAGAGAUGACCUAGACUUCAAAUGCAUCUACCUCUUCCAACGUGACAGAGAAAACUGGCAGGUAUAUGCAUGAUCCUAAGAGCGGGCACUUGGAUGUUGUUUAUCGAAUACUAUGAUAUUUAAAGGAUUCCUGUUCAAAAGUGGUGGUCAUAUAAAUGUUGAAGGCUAUUGUGAUGCAGAUUGGGCAAGCUGUCUUGAUUAUAGAAGACCGACCUCUGGUUACUGUGUUUUUGUUGGAGGAACUUAGUAUCAUGGAGAAGCAAAAAGCAAUCAAUUGUGUCCCGUUCAACUGCUGAAGCAUAGUAUAGAGCUAUGUCACUUUGAGUGAAAUGUUGUGGGUGAGGAGCCUCCUAUCAGAGUUAAAUGUGCUAAGAAAAGGCCCUUUGAAGUUUUGGUGUGAUAACAAAUCAGCUAUUAACAUAGCUAAUAAUCUAGUUCAGCAUGAUCAGACAAAAUAUGUGGAGAUCGAUCACUUCUUUAUUAAAGAGAAGAUAGAUGAUGGUAUACUACAAUUGAGUCAUGUAAACUCCGAAGGUCAAAUAGCAGACUAUCUAAGGGUUUAGGAGUAAAAGGCUGUAAUAUAGUAUGUACCAGGAUAGGAAUAAUAGAUAUCUAUUAUCCA